GUCUACAGCCAAACCACCCUGAACGUGACUGAUCUCGUCUGAUCUUGGAAGCUGAGCAGGGUCAGGCCUGGUUAGUACUUAGAUGGGAGGAGAUGGGAGAAUAUCCUGAACCAUCUGAUGGGCU
Bison bison bison is the source of this 124-nucleotide ribosomal RNA. The record is from Ensembl. Lineage: Eukaryota; Metazoa; Chordata; Mammalia; Artiodactyla; Bovidae.